RNAcentral lists this ribosomal RNA (279 nucleotides) under uncultured bacterium. RNAcentral's name for it is "partial 16S ribosomal RNA". It matches the Rfam family "Bacterial small subunit ribosomal RNA", at positions 506 to 784 of the family's 1533-position model. The record is from RNAcentral.
UGCCAGCCGCCGCGGUAAUACGAAGGUCCCAAGCGUCGUUCGGAAUCACUGGGCGUAAAGCGUGUGUAGGCUGCGCGGAAAGUCAAAUGUGAAAGCCCUGGGCUCAACCUAGGAACUGCAUCCAAAACUAACUCACUAGAGUACGAUAGAGGGAGGUAGAAUUCAUAGUGUAGCGGUGGAAUGCGUAGAUAUUAUGAAGAAUACCAGUGGCGAAGGCGGCCUCCUGGAUCUGUACUGACACUAAGGUGCGAAAGCGUGGGUAGCGAACAGGAUUAGAUA